GAUGAACGCUGGCGGCGUGCCUAACACAUGCAAGUCGAACGAACAGUUCAGGAGCUUGCUCGUCUGACGUUAGCCGCGGACGGGAGAGUCACACGUGUAUAACCUACCUAUCAGACUGGGAUCAUUUCGGGAAACCGGAUCUUAUACCGUAUAAUAUAUUGCACCGCAUUGGUCAAUAGUGAAAUUCGGUUUUUCUGUCACUUAUAGAUGGAUCCGCGCCGCAUUAGCUAGUUGGUAAGGUAACGGCUUACCAAGGCUACGAUGCGUAGCCGACCUGAGCGCGUGGUCGGCGACACUGGAAGUGAGACAGGGUCCAGACGCCUGCGGGAGGCCGCAGUAGGGAAUCUUCCGCAAAAGUCGAGAGCCUGACAGAGCACCGCGGAGUGAGUGAUGAAGGUGUUCUGAUCGGAAAACUCUGUUAUUAGGUGAGAACAAAUGUGUAAGUACCUAUGCAGGUCGUGACGGUAACUAAUAAAAAAGCCCCGGCUAACUACGUG
Molecule: ribosomal RNA, 497 nt
Filed under: uncultured bacterium
Lineage: Bacteria
Description: partial 16S ribosomal RNA
Rfam family: Bacterial small subunit ribosomal RNA
Source: RNAcentral